UGCCUUUGGGAGAAAUUUAAGACUUGG
This 27-nucleotide non-coding RNA is filed under the name Mus musculus (house mouse). The record is from RNAcentral. Lineage: Eukaryota; Metazoa; Chordata; Mammalia; Rodentia; Muridae.